AUCAAUGAGAAUGCAACAUAAACAAUUAGAUUUAGUGCAUAUGGGCAUAAUAAUAUUAUGAGUUUAAUCAACUAACAAAAUUAAAAACAAAUAUUUUAACUUUUUAGAUAGAUGGGGCCUAUUAUGCAAAUAUGAAAAGUUAGGGGUCAAACCGUAAAUACUUGAAAGUAAAUAUCAACUUUUCAAAAAUUACAAAAUAGCCCCACAAGUGGGUAAUCCACUAGGGUGGCCGGCCACAUUAAGGUGACAUGGGAAGUCUCACCCAUCUUGCAUUGAACCAACAUAAAGUAGAAAAAAUUAAAUUUUGCUUGUCACUUGGUUUUGCUUUAAGGACUUUAGUGAAAAGGGUGAUGGAAAUUUAACUAGACAAGUCUAGGUUUUAUUAAAUUUUGAGAUGGCUAUGGAUGGUAUGUACAUCAUCCAAAACCACAAAACAAUGCAUGAAAUACAAGUAAAACCAUUUUCACCAAAAACCAAACCAUGAACACAUUUUCAAGAUUUGUAUAUUCUUGGUGAUUUUUCAAACCCAAAAACAAAAGUGACUAGAUUUCUACUUUCUAGCUUUAAAGUGUGUGUGUGUGAUUCAAAAUAAAAACACAAACACUUAGCCAAAAAACCCCUUUUUUGCCGUGCCCUCCCUAUGACUCAAAACCCCAAAAUUAGUUCUAAACUCAUUCUUCAUUCAUGCAUCCAAAACACUUUUUGCAUACAUAUCUUUCUCAACUAUUGAUUUACAUUUUCAACAAUUGAAAAACAAAAGAUAAACCUACUUUGAAUGAAGCAAUAAUAUGUCAUACAUAAAAUUAAAACCCAUAUGCAUAAAAUCCAAAAGGACACAUCAUACAUAAACCUUUGGCUCUGAUACCACUUGAAGGGAAUACUAUAAGAUUCAUGUGGGAUUUCUAGUGACUAGCAUGCAUAUACAAUUCAAAAUUUAUAUACGAAAGCAACGGAAGCAUUUCAACAUAUAUUAUCAAAGCUUUAGUCAUGUAAAUCCCCUUCAAGAUGCAUAGGUUUAUGUAAGAUGCAUCAAAAACAAAUUUAUAUAAGAACAAA
RNAcentral lists this long non-coding RNA (1056 nucleotides) under Malus domestica (apple). RNAcentral describes it as "long non-coding RNA (MDOM_LNC002716)". Lineage: Eukaryota; Viridiplantae; Streptophyta; Magnoliopsida; Rosales; Rosaceae. The record is from RNAcentral.